Molecule: transfer RNA, 118 nt
Organism: Kazachstania africana CBS 2517
Lineage: Eukaryota; Fungi; Ascomycota; Saccharomycetes; Saccharomycetales; Saccharomycetaceae
Rfam family: tRNA
About the family: Transfer RNA (tRNA) molecules are approximately 80 nucleotides in length. Their secondary structure includes four short double-helical elements and three loops (D, anti-codon, and T loops).
Source: Rfam
GGUUGUUUGGCCGAGCGGUCUAAGGCGCCUGAUUCAAGAAAUUCGUUUCUUAACCGAGUAAAAAUUCGGGAACACUCAGGAAUCGUAAGAUGCAGGAGUUCGAAUCUCCUAGCAACCA